Molecule: long non-coding RNA, 2877 nt
Organism: Neofelis nebulosa (Clouded leopard)
Lineage: Eukaryota; Metazoa; Chordata; Mammalia; Carnivora; Felidae
Exons: 2
Source: RefSeq, a predicted model, not a curated record
GUGAGAGCACCUGAAAUCUACUCUUUUUAGCAAAUUUCCAGUGUGUGAUAUAGUAUUAUAAUCUAUAGUCAUCAUGCUGUACUUGGUAUCUCUAGACUUAUUUAUCCUAUAUAAUUGCAACUUUGAACUUUUUGACCAUAAUCUCAUUUUUCUCACCUCCCGGCCCCAGUAGGUCACCAGGCUAAUCAUUAGUUACCCAGAACUUAUUAAUCUUAUAACUGAGAGUUUGUACCUUUGACCAGUGUCUCCCUCUACCCAGGGAUCAGAUUUCCUUGGGAAUGAUCAGAAGGUCAUCCUCAAAGCCACGCAGGAUGGGUGCAGACAGAUGGGUCUCCAUGCUCUGUCACCUAAUUCUACGGGAGUGGCUCUGUUCGCAACUACUUUACAUCGUUGCAAUUCCUGGUAAGAAUUUCAUGAUUUAACACAAAUUUCCUCAUUUUACAGAUGAAGAAAGUGAGCCUCAGCGGAGCGCAUUGCUAUAGCCAGGGACACAUGGCAGGUGAAUGGCAGACCAGAAAUAAAACCCAGAUUUCUGACUGCCUAAUCAACCACAUUCUACACUAUGCCACUGUGGAAAGUUUCCAACAGGUUAAAGUAAAAACAAACAAACUCACAAACACCAACAACCAAAAAGCCCCAGAGCAUCUCUAGGAAACACCGACAUAUUUUUGCCAAGUGGGGUUUAUUCCACUUGAUGAAAGCAAUCAAGACUAAACCAAGAGAACUAGAAUUUAGAAGUUAAAGAAGAUGCCAGACUGGGCCUGUGGAUUGUUUUGUAAGAUCUUCAGCACCCAAGUUUGAUUUUCUAUAGAGAAAUGAAUAAUUGCUUUUUAAUGAAGCAUCCCAAGGAACAGAUAAUUCAUAUGUGUCAAGCACCAUGGGAUUCAGGAUGAAAAAUUCCCUCCCUUAUAAUGCUCUAAGGCAAACAUUAUAAUUUGUGAAGUUUCCUGACAGUUUUUGCAAGAAGAAUACUUACCUUUAUUUUCCAGGCCAAAUGCCAAACUAGGUAAUUAUCCUUUGCCCACUUUUCUUUCCCCAAGCUGUUUUAAUUAGAUAAGAAUUCUGCCUUCACUUCCUCUCAAGGACUGAAUUGUGAUGUUGGCACAUGCCUUUCAGCAACUGUUAAUGCCCUAGUUUGCUGAAUGCUUGUCCCUCUUCAGAAUGAAAAAAAAAAAAAAUGUUGCCAUAAGUACCUGGCUUUCUUGUGGGUACAAAAAGCUUCCUGAGGAGCAGCAGGCUGUUAGGGAGCGAAUUUCUACAUUUUCCAGAACUUGAUCUCUCAGCUUCACGUCUGCUCCAGACGCCCAGAGAGGAAUCAAUAAGCCAUACCUUCCCUGCUAGUGCAGGAUACGUGUGACGGCUAUUAAGAGGGAAAGCUCUAAUACAUUGCUCAAGAAAUAAUUAACCAGGUCAAACUCUUACAGUUAAUCCUCCACCCCAAGCCCUGUCCCCUACUCCUUCAAAAACUGCCUAAAGAAACAGUGGGUCCAGAGAGGCACAGAAGAUGUGCAGUCUAUUGACCCUUCCCGUCUUACCAGCGCGCCAUGACUUUCCCACAGUAGGAGAACAGCAGGGCCCAGUAUCCAUUCAAGCAGGGUUUUAUACUUGGAAAGAGCUGAGUUCUACCACCAAGGACCUUACUUAACAGCAAGGCUAUUUUCAGCAAGUUACUUCACUUGAAGCCUCUUUCCUCAGGCUUACAUAUUUUUUCACUUCAAAUGUCUUGGAGUUGUGCCAUAUCAGCACAUGUGAUCUACUUUAUUAUUUUUUUUCUUUGUAUUUUCAUUUUUAAAAAGUGUUUUAUUUUGACAGAGAACAUGAGUGGGGCAGGGACAGAGAGAGAGGGGGAGAGAGAAUCCCAAGCAGACUCCAGAUUCAACGCAGAGCCCUGGGUGGGGCUUGAUUUCGUGACCAUGAGAUCAUGACCUGAGCCGAAAUCAGAAGUCGGACGCUUAGCUGACUGAGCCACCCAGGCGCCCCCCAAGCAGAAUUUUUAAAAACUGUUAUAUGGCUUCUGGGUUUUUAAUCGUCUUUAGGAAGUUCUUUCUCAUUCUGAAAUAAAAGAAGUGAGAAUCUCCCAAUAUUUUUCUGAAUAUUUUGAAAUUCAUUGUUUACAUUUAAAUAUUUGAUCCAUCUGAAAUGUAUUUUAUUGUAAGCUGUGAAAUAGGGAUCUGAUUUUAUUUUAUUUUAUUUUAUAUUUUAUUUUUCCAGAUGGCCACUUAGUUGUUCCAAUGCCAUUUAUUGAAUAAUACAUCAAUCUCCCACUUAAUUUAUAAUAUUCUGACUUUCUGUGCAUAUUUUGAUAUAUUGUUAGAAUUUCCACAGUGUUCUACUGAUUUUUAAUCUGUUCUUAGGUAAAGAAAACAUUGUUUUAAUCAUUUGAGUGUUAAAAUAUACUUUCGAAAAUACUUGAUAGGGUAUCUCUCUUCUAAUUUUUUCAAGAAUUUUCCUGGCUAAUCAUGCUUGUUUACUUUUUCAUAUGAAGAAUUCCCUUAUCUAGUCCCAACCCCUCCAACAAAAUUGACUGCCAUUUUUGGGGAGGGGAGUGCAUUAAACUUAUAAUUUUUAAGGAAGACUAUGUAUUUAUGAUGUUGAAUUUUUUUAUUCAAGAAUACGAUAUGCCUUUUCAUUGAACAAUUUUUGUGUCCCUCGGUAGAAGUUUGCAUAUACAGAUGUCAUGAAGUGGAGAUAAUAUGAAGAGGGAUAGAAAUAGUACUCAAAGAGUUAUGGUACAAAUUGAAUGAAGAGAAUAUAUAGUACAUGGCCCUGAACCAUGCUUAAAACAUCUAAUGUGUGACAAAUGCACACCUUACUGCUCUAUCCUAGAAUGUGUGUGAUUAAACCAAGAAGAUAAAUCAGUCUCUCGAUAAUCGGAAA